GGAACUGGGAUUGCUGAGGAAAAGAGUUUCAUCAUCAAAAGCCAAUGCAACAAAAAGCAAAGGUGCUCAGAAGUCAAGGACAUGUCAGACGUUUACUUAUCUCAUUGUGAUUGAUUUUGAAUCAACUUGCUGGAAAGACAAAAAGAAUACCAACCAAGAGAUAAUUGAGUUUCCUGCGGUGCUUCUGAAUGCUACCAAUGGCCAGUUAGAGAGUGAGUUCCAGCAGUAUGUCAUGCCCGAUGAGCACCCUAUAUUGAGUGAAUUCUGCACAGAGUUCACUGGGAUAUCACAGGUAAUUAGAGAAAUCUUUUAUAUUUCAUUUGGUUUACAAUAACUUUGGCUACUUCUCCUUCCCUCUUUCCUCCCUUUCCUCUUUUCCCCCCUUUCCUCUUUUCCCCCUUUCCUUCCCCUUUCCCUUUCUUUUCCCCUCACUUUUCUCUUUUCCCUGUUUUUUUAAAUUUUCCUGGUGAAAUUCGCCAGGGGGGGGGGGGGCAGCCCCUCCUCCCCGCCUGUUACGCCACUGGUGAAAACCAGUUUAAACACCCAAAACAGUAUUAGAAGGAAUCUUAAGUGGUCUUCCAAACCAGUUUUGGAAACCCACCUCAUGAUGUGGUUUUCAAGACCACUUUGCCUCGUUAAACUGGUCUAAGCGUAGAUGAGGACACAGCGGUCUUCCGGCAGCGGUCUCCACCCGGAAGUAUGAAAGUGUGUGUCUGUUGGGUGUGUGAAGCGAUCUUCUUAACUGAUGUUACGAAGUGGUUUAAAGGAAGCCACAUCAGGAAAGUACAUGUAGGUGAGGACGGGAUCUAAUACCACAUGAACUAUUAACCAGUUUGGUUUUGUACUCUAAUAAUUUCGCUGACACGUCACUUGGGUCCUGUAACACAAAGGUUAGCAAUUCAUCGUAGACUUGAUUUUCACGAUUGAUUGUACAUUGUAGUCAAUGGAAUCAAUCGUAGAAAUAUGUUCUACAAUCAUUGCUAAAGUUUGUGUUACGGGCUCUUGGUCUGAUAUCCACUAACUCGAAAUAUGUCCAAUAUCCAUUUUGUCUACUUUUUUUAUGAUUUUAACUUUGUCUACUAAAAAUAUGAUUCAUAAACAGUUUCUCUGACCACAUAGGCAACAUGAAAGUGGUGUUACACAAAAUGGAUAUUAAACAAAAGUAGACAAAAUGGUAAAUGGGCUGACAUGGCAGGUACAUGUAUACAAAAUUUAAAAAUAUCGCUUCGGUCAAAAAAGUGUUUUGUAGAUCUUUAAGAAAAAAUAGUUCUUAGCAGGUACGACUGAAUGAAAUUCCAUACAGAAGCUGCGCUUUACAAAUCUAUGUUUAUUGUUGUAAGUAUUGUGAAGGAAACCCCUUUUUGUGAAUAGGAAAAUCUCAUCUUAAAAAGAGAUAUUUAGAUUUCCAAAAUUUCCUUUUUAUCUGGAGUGUUGUUUGUUUACAUCACGUAACUGAACGCCAGUAUAGUCAUUGAAUGCCGGAGAUCAGCUGUUUUUACUACGUGAACUGUGACCUAAAUUCCGGAGAGAGACUGGUGAAUUUACUCUGAUUAAUUGUUAGUGUGCGCGCAUACGUGUUAGCGCAGAGCAAUUGGUAUAUUUCUGCUGAGUCACGCCAUAUUCACGUAGAGCCAGCAGUAUGAUCUAUUUAUGGGACCGGUAUGGUCUGUUAUGAAAUUUUAUGAGCAUUUAAAUAGCUCUAAGUCAAAAUAAGAAUCUUACCUUUUGUGUAGAUUCUCUGGAACUUGAUUACAGCAUUAAUUUAUUGGUGGAAUUUCUUCAUUCAUGUUUGGAUACUGUUAUUUUCCUUUAUUCUGAGACGAUUACCGCCAGGAUUUUGAACUCUUCCUUGGAUCUAAAGCUCUGAUGCGCGCAUACGAGCACAGACGCGCUAUCAUUUGGUAUUUUAAAGUAUUGAAUUUGCAUAGCAUCCCGCCGCGUAAUGUUUAUGUGGAGAGAGUGGUUUUUAAAGCACUAAAAUUACAUAACAACCCGCCGCAUAAUGCAAUGAGCUCAGAAAUUGCCAAAAUCCUGGGGGGGCCAAAAGUCUAUAAAUAGGGGAGGUUUUGAGGAGUUUGUCAUAUCGUCUGCAAGCUCUCUUGAGUUAAGUUAGCUCUCCUAGUCACAAUUCACAUUCACUCUCUCGAGAAUUCUCGUUCUCUGUUUCUCUUUCUACAUUGUACAUUCCUCUGUGAGUACGUUACGUCAUCAUUUGAUACUAAGUUCCAUUCAGGGAAUUCAGCGAGAUUAAUGAUGAAUUUCUGGCAUACGAAUUUGAAAUAAUUCGUCACCUUUUUGGUUAGUGACGAUUUAUGGCAACCAAUUCUCUGUUGCAUUACUGUUUAUGGUCAGCGAAGAUUUAUCAGUUGUUCACAGAAAUUGGGCAGCUUUUGUUAUUCUUUAGCAGACUUUGAUUGAUUUGUCAAGUCUACUAAUUGUUUGCUAGAUAUCUAGAGAAGAUAUGAAAGCAUUUAUUGGUGCUUAUUUGUGCUCUUUUUGACAUGAAAACAAUUGUUUGGAGCAGAUAGAAAUUAAUUGAUGGUCACGAUAGUGAACAUGGAUGCUGACUGUUAAUUUAUUUUUCUGGAAUCUCCUGAAUUGAUAAUUUGAUUAUCUUAUUUAUGAAAUUGGAUAAUUUAUGCAUUUUAUAUUAUGAAUUUAUUUCUGACUUGAUGACAAUAUUUAGGCAGUCCUUUUAAGGACUCUUGACAGUCUGAAUAUUUAAUCAAAUUAUCUAGUCAGAGACCCAAUUCUAGCCUACCCAAGACUGAAUGUUGGAUUCAUUCUUGAUACAGACGCCAGCAAUUUUGCAAUAGGAGCAGUACUUUCACAAGAACAAGAGGGAAAGGAAAGGGUUAUUGCAUAUGCCAGUAAGACUCUAAAUCCUGCAGAACAGAAUUACUGCGUUACAAGGAGGGAGCUAUUAGCUGUUGUAAACUUUCUCAAGCAUUUCCGUCAUUAUCUGUAUGGACAACAAGUCAAAGUUAGAACAGACCAUGGCACACUUAGGUGGCUAUUAGAGUUUAAGAAUCCUGAAGGACAGUUAGCCAGAUGGCCUGAAGUGAUAACACAGUACCAACUCACCUUAGUGCAUCGUGCUGGACGUGUCCACUUGAAUGCUGAUGGGUUAUCCAGACGACCUUGCACCGAUUGCCGACAUUGUAGGAGAUUUUAGAAGACUGAAAGAAAAGAGAAGUAAAGAAAUAGACUUUAUUUCUAUUUGAUUGUGAAUCUGUGACAUUAAUUGAAUUUAUAUUAUUGUUUUUCGAUAGUGAACUAUAUUGGAUUCUAUCAUGCUUACUUAACACAAGAUUUUGACAUGGAGGCUGGAGAGUGUGAUGAAAAGGAGAUGUCUACCAUAACAUUUACGCCAAUAACUGAAGAGGAAAUCAGGAAGGCACAGUUACAAGAUGGAGACAUAAAGCAUAUUUUGAGAUGGAAGGAAAUAUGCAGUGAGCGACCGAGCUGGAAAGAUGUUUCGCACCUAUCAUCAGCUACUAAGGUUUACUGGGUAAACUGGACUUUGCUAGAGGUACAAAAAGGUGUCUUGAUGAGGAGAUGGGAAUCAGAAGAUGGGAAGGAGAUAACUUGGAAAAUUGUACUCCCUCGUUCCUUGCGAAGUACAGUACUGGAGGAAUUACAGUGUUCUCAAACAGCUGCUCAUCUUGGAGUCAAUAAGACAUUGCAUAAAGUACAGAGGAGAUAUUACUGAGUUGGACUUGCUGCAGAUGUGCGAUUGUGGAUUAAGAGAUGUACUAUCUGUGCACGGCUGAAAAACCCCCCAAAGAAGAAUAAAGCUCCACUUCAGAAAUAUAGAGUUGGUGCACCACUAGAAAGGGUAGCGAUGGACAUUUUGGGCCCUUUACCCGAGACGGACAGUGGAAACAAGUAUGUGUUAGUCGUGGGAGACUAUUUCACAAAAUGGAUAGAAUCGUACCCAUUACCAGAUCAGGAGGCGGAGAUGGGUACUAGUGGAGGAGUUUAUUUGUCGGUAUGGAAUACCAAAAGAACUACAUAGUGACCAAGGGAGGAAUUUUGAGUCAAGGCUGAUGGCAGAGAUGUGUAAGAUGUUUGGUAUUAAGGAAACAAGGACUUGCCCACUACUCCCACAAGGAGAUGGAUUUAUAGAAAGAUUUAAUAGAACCUUACUGGGUAUGGUCUCGUCAUUGCUCGAUCCAGAUGAUGAGCAGAAGGACUGGGAUGAGAGGAUUCCAUUCGCGAUGUUGGCAUACAGAUCAGCAGUCCAGGAAUCAACUGGAGAGAGUCCUGCUAUGAUGAUGCUUGGAAGAGAAAUCAGUCUGCCGGUAGAUUUGCUGUUACCUUCUCCAACACCUGCAAAUGAAGAAGAAUCAGACUAUGUGAGUGAUGUGAGGGAAAAGUUACACGAGGUACAUGAAGGUGCUAGAGAAAAACUUGGAAUUGCAGCUGAAAGACAGGCUAAGUCUUAUGAUAGAAAUAUCAUUCAGCGAAGUUUUAUGACUGGAGACUGGGUGUGGUUAUUCGACGCAUCAAGGAAGAAAGGAGUGUGCCCUAAGCUGAGCAUGAAAUGGAAAGGACCAUUUAUGGUGGUAACCAAACUUUCAGAUGUUGUGUAUCGAAUUCAGGAAUCAUCGAGAAGCAAACCAAAGGUGGUGCACAUCGAUCGACUAAAGGCUUAUACUGGAAAGCCUUUGAAAAACUGGUUGACACAAGAAAUCAGGCGUAAUCCAAAUAGAAACAGGGUUCCACCACAACGAUUCAUUGAACUUUAACUCACAAAACAAUACAUUUUCACCAUUAUGGCUCUAUUAGGAAAUUCAUUCUAGAAAUUUCCUUCAUUUAAUAUAAUAUUUAUUGGAUUGUUUGUGACAACAUACGAUUAUAUGCCUUGUAUGUUUUGCAAAUUGUUUCUUACACUACAGCAUGAUGGAGAUAAAAUGCAAGUUUUGCUCCAGGAAGUUCACUUCAUACCCCUCCAUAAACUACCAUCUAACACGGGCGCACAACCUCGAAUAUAUAUUAAUCUGUAAGCGAUGCAAGUAUGAAGAUGUUAAGAAAAACAUGAGAAGGCACUAUGAGGAAAAUCAUAGGGAACAUCUCAAAGAAGUUGACACCCUAAGAACUUAUCGUUCCAGGCCCAAGGAUAUGGAAGAGUAGGAGAGAAGUUGAUGAGGAAAGGGAGAAGGAGAAACAGGGACGGAAGGAGCAAAGACAG
Molecule: long non-coding RNA, 5194 nt
Organism: Lytechinus pictus (painted urchin)
Lineage: Eukaryota; Metazoa; Echinodermata; Echinoidea; Temnopleuroida; Toxopneustidae
Exons: 3
Source: RefSeq, a predicted model, not a curated record